GUAGGUGAACCUGCGGAAGGAUCAUUAACACGUUCCAAACGUUAAACCAAACCCCUCUGUGAACUAUUGAAAACAAAUCCAACCUGGCCUCGAGCUGGGCUCUGGUAUUUUAACCAAAAAUCCUAGUGGUUUGUUGUGGGUAUGUAUUUACCUGCAGCACACCUCUAGGUCGCUGAAAGGCAUUCUGGUCUCACGAUCGGGGUGUCCCUCUGCGUGCUGCUCGGCUCCGUCGGGUGGUGCGGCACUUUUUCGAAGGUGCCAGCGCAGACAGCGUCCAACCCAACCAAACCCUUGAACCUAACUAUCUGAAACUCCUUAACUGGACAGGUCACGCUUGCGUGUCCCAAAAGUUAAACCAAACAAAAAACAACUCUUAACAACGGAUAUCUUGGUUCUC
This 397-nucleotide unclassified non-coding RNA is filed under the name rhizosphere metagenome. Its description in RNAcentral is "partial ribosomal RNA internal transcribed spacer region". The record is from RNAcentral.